GGGUUGUGAGGUUAAGCGACUAAGCGUACACGGUGGAUGCCCUGGCAGUCAGAGGCGAUGAAGGGCGUGCUAAUCUGCGAUAAGCGCCGGUAAGGUGAUAUGAACCGUUAUAACCGGCGAUACCCGAAUGGGGAAACCCAGUGUGAUUCGUCACACUAUCAUUAACUGAAUCCAUAGGUUAAUGAGGCGAACCGGGGGAACUGAAACAUCUAAGUACCCCGAGGAAAAGAAAUCAACCGAGAUUCCCCCAGUAGCGGCGAGCGAACGGGGAGGAGCCCAGAGCCUGAAUCAGCAUGUGUGUUAGUGGAAGCGUCUGGAAAGGCGCGCGAUACAGGGUGACAGCCCCGUACACAAAAGCGCAUGUGCUGUGAGCUCGAUGAGUAGGGCGGGACACGUGGUAUCCUGUCUGAAUAUGGGGGGACCAUCCUCCAAGGCUAAAUACUCCUGACUGACCGAUAGUGAACCAGUACCGUGAGGGAAAGGCGAAAAGAACCCCGGCGAGGGGAGUGAAAAAGAACCUGAAACCGUGUACGUACAAGCAGUGGGAGCACAGGUUUACCUGUGUGACUGCGUACCUUUUGUAUAAUGGGUCAGCGACUUAUAUUCUGUAGCAAGGUUAACCGUAUAGGGGAGCCGAAGGGAAACCGAGUCUUAAC
RNAcentral lists this ribosomal RNA (656 nucleotides) under Salmonella enterica. Its description in RNAcentral is "bacterial LSU rRNA". It matches the Rfam family "Bacterial large subunit ribosomal RNA", at positions 1 to 688 of the family's 2925-position model. Lineage: Bacteria; Pseudomonadati; Pseudomonadota; Gammaproteobacteria; Enterobacterales; Enterobacteriaceae. The record is from RNAcentral. RNAcentral also lists the same sequence under 1 other name.